RNAcentral lists this ribosomal RNA (222 nucleotides) under uncultured bacterium. RNAcentral's name for it is "partial 16S ribosomal RNA". It matches the Rfam family "Bacterial small subunit ribosomal RNA", at positions 57 to 305 of the family's 1533-position model. The record is from RNAcentral.
GCAAGUCGAGCGCUUCCCUUCGGGGAGGAGCGGCGGACGGGUUAGUAACGCGUGGGAAUAUACCCUUCUCUACGGAAUAGCCUCGGGAAACUGAGAGUAAUACCGUAUACGCCCUUCGGGGGAAAGAUUUAUCGGAGAAGGAUUAGCCCGCGUUGGAUUAGGUAGUUGGUGGGGUAAUGGCCUACCAAGCCGACGAUCCAUAGCUGGUUUGAGAGGAUGAUC